GGGCUAGGACGGCCUUUUAAUCCGUAGGUUGUGGGUUCGAGUCCCACGGGGCCCA
Molecule: transfer RNA, 55 nt
Filed under: Actinomycetota bacterium
Lineage: Bacteria; Bacillati; Actinomycetota
Description: tRNA-Ser
Source: RNAcentral